AGUGAGACUGAAAGCUAAUAGGCAGCUGCCAGCAGUGGAGUGACAGGAUAGAGAAACAACUGUAGAGGAGCAAGAGAUGAUGGUGACUCAGACCAAAGUGGAAGCAGUGGAGGAAUCAUGGUAAUUGUCUUGCCCAAAGUAUCUUCCUUUAAUAUGGCAGAAAUAUUAGUGUGAAAGACAGAGGACUCUAAUCAGCAGGAGCAGGAAAUUUAAGAAAAACAGCAAAAGCAGACAUGAAGCGGAGGAACCACAGAGGAGCCAAAUUACAAGCAGUACCUGAAACACAUUCAUCACAGUCAAAAGGAAGUGAAGAGACACAGAAGGGAAGCAAGAUACUGAGAUGCUGCCAAGUAUCCCAGAGUCCAUGAUGGAGUAGAGAUGAAACAAUAGACCCAGGUCAUUCCUCUGCUGGAGGUUCUGAGGCAAGCAGUAGUGCUCUGCAGAUGAACAUUCAUGACAACUUGCCUUUCAACUGGAGGUGUGUGACAGCCAGAAAAAUACCAUCGAGAUAAAGCUUUUUUCUCCUAGAGGAGCAACUGACUCACCGCAGCAUGUUGUUAUGUGGACCUCGAGUCUGUGGACUAGUGGACCUUCACCUCCUUCAGUGUGUGGGUCUGUCCAGGGCUUCCAUCCCUCCAGUAAGAACCCUAACCCACAUUCCUGCAUUUGAUAACUUUGAGUUAAAUCAAGAAAAGCUUGGAAAUUUGGACAUAGUUGUUUAUAAGUCACUCAUAUUAUCUAUUAAAGUCUAAAAAUGUUGUAGUCCCUGAAUUUAGUAGAACAAUGUCUGUAGUGAGAGCAAAAAUCUUUCAGGGAAAGCUUACUCCUCCUGAUCUUCACUCCACAUACUUCACUGAUAUUGGACAACUAACCCUUUAAAAAGGUUUUGCUUGGGCUCCUUCAAAGCCAUGACAAGUACCAAGGUAUAUCAAAGUUCACUAUCCUUUCCAUAUCUUCCAUAAUCCCAGUCACCCUUUCUAUCAGACACAAAGUGGGGGCACAGGCAAUGCCUUAAAGCAUCCUAUCAUCUACACCUAAUUUGGGGCACAUAUCUGAUAAUACUGACUCCUAAACCUUAAUUCUGAAAACCACCAUCUCUCUAUUAAAUGAUCAAGAACAUCCCACACACAACACCGGGCAAUGAUACAUCUUCAUGUAUUUCCUGAAUCUAGGUUAAUUAAUCUACAUGCAGCUUCAUUUGGCCUAGUUUCUUCCACACCUUUACAACCCUGGUAUUCAUAAGGACUCUGAGAAACAGUUAUAAAUAAUUCUUAAAUAUAGACUGUCAAAUUAUCUUUUUCCCAGCCACUUUCUCUGGAAUGCUCCCUCUACAGUCUGGUGUAUUAUGACUUUGUUUGAAGUCUACCAGCUUUAACAGAGCUCAUAUCCCACUGAUGAAGGCAAAAUAUAUGACUCCUAGCUCAUAGCAUCUCUUUUAAUCUUCCUUUCUGUUCCCUGGGCACUGUGACGCUGCUAAAGUUAAAGCUGCAACGGAAACAGGAGAUACAUCCUCAUACAUUUCUGUCCUCACACUCACCUUCUGUCUCAUCCCUGAAUGUUUCAAAUUUCAAAGAUUUUAAUGUGAGUUGAAAUGAAUAAGGCUCUAAUGACUCUAUCAUCUACAUUUAUGUUAGACAAAUAUACAAUGUAAUCUACAUAAAUACGCAUGCGUUCUUAAUGCAUUACCCUAAAGAGAAUAUCACAAAAGAGGAAUUUUAAAAUAAUGUACCUAAAUUCACAGCUAUCUAUCACACUUUACACAUAGGUGAAAUUAUCUGAAAUCACUGUGCAUGUAUAUUUGGGGUCAGAGAGUUUCUGAAAUUUUGAAGCAGAGAAAAUUAUAACAGUAAGGAAUACUUCUGACUAGUCUCCAUUAAUGUUUUUGAAAACUUGCACUUACCAAAAUACGUUUUCUUGCUUUUCAAAGCAAGAAUAUUCAAAUUUUGAAUAUUCAGAGGCUAAUCUACUUACUGACUAUCAUUACCAGCAAUAAAUCAGGUCUAUG
Molecule: long non-coding RNA, 2005 nt
Organism: Pan troglodytes (chimpanzee)
Lineage: Eukaryota; Metazoa; Chordata; Mammalia; Primates; Hominidae
Exons: 3
Source: RefSeq, a predicted model, not a curated record